Molecule: small RNA, 217 nt
Filed under: Thermomonospora curvata DSM 43183
Lineage: Bacteria; Bacillati; Actinomycetota; Actinomycetes; Streptosporangiales; Thermomonosporaceae
Description: Actinobacteria sRNA Ms_IGR-5
Rfam family: Actinobacteria sRNA Ms_IGR-5
Source: Rfam by way of RNAcentral
ACGCGGGAAAGGAGGUGGUCCGGAACAUGCAUGAUUCUGGGACUCGCGAGGUGACUGUCCGCUAGUCGCCGUCCCGCCUUGGAACUCCCCGCACGCGCGGGGAACUCUCCAGCCGUGAUGGCGGCUGGCGAAUACCAGGCAAUCACCCGAUCCCCGGGCUGAUGGAUCAAGUCCCGUCCAUCGCCGCCGUGCGCGGAAGGCCCGGGGAUCGUUCUUU